RNAcentral lists this transfer RNA (69 nucleotides) under Agathobacter rectalis M104/1. Its description in RNAcentral is "[Eubacterium] rectale M104/1 tRNA". It matches the Rfam family "tRNA". Rfam says of the family: Transfer RNA (tRNA) molecules are approximately 80 nucleotides in length. Their secondary structure includes four short double-helical elements and three loops (D, anti-codon, and T loops). Lineage: Bacteria; Bacillati; Bacillota; Clostridia; Lachnospirales; Lachnospiraceae. The record is from RNAcentral.
ACUGGUAUACGUAACGGUAGCAUGCAGACUCAUAACCUGCAAAUCUGGGUUCAAAUCCCAGUGCCAGUC